This 357-nucleotide ribosomal RNA is filed under the name uncultured bacterium. RNAcentral describes it as "bacterial SSU rRNA". It matches the Rfam family "Bacterial small subunit ribosomal RNA", at positions 29 to 414 of the family's 1533-position model. The record is from RNAcentral.
AACGAACGCUGGCGGCAUGCCUAACACAUGCAAGUCGAACGAGACCUUCGGGUCUAGUGGCGCACGGGUGCGUAACGCGUGGGAACCUGCCUUUAGGUUCGGAAUAACUCAGAGAAAUUUGAGCUAAUACCGGAUAAUGUCUUCGGACCAAAGAUUUAUCGCCUUUAGAUGGGCCCGCGUUGGAUUAGCUAGUUGGUGGGGUAAAGGCCUACCAAGGCGACGAUCCAUAGCUGGUCUGAGAGGAUGAUCAGCCACACUGGGACUGAGACACGGCCCAGACUCCUACGGAGGCAGCAGUGGGGAAUAUUGGACAAUGGGCGAAAGCCUGAUCCAGCAAUGCCGCGUGAGUGAUGAAGG